RNAcentral lists this long non-coding RNA (258 nucleotides) under Ricinus communis (castor bean). RNAcentral describes it as "long non-coding RNA (RCOM_LNC001580)". Lineage: Eukaryota; Viridiplantae; Streptophyta; Magnoliopsida; Malpighiales; Euphorbiaceae. The record is from RNAcentral.
UUUGCUGAAGAUCUUUUGUAAGAAUAAAAAUAUUUUUUAAAGCAAUAUUAUUAUUUAGAAUUGCAGCUUCAGUUUUACCCGCAAUCCUAAUCUUUGAACUAUUAGCUGAAGUAAGCCUUUCUUUAGUUUCUUGAUGAUACUUUUUAGGAACCAGCUUAUAAUUGAUACAGUUAAAGUCUGCUCCUAUAUCAAACAAAGCGAUGGUUUCUAUUUGGAAAUCACCAGGGAAAAUGAGCUUUAUUUGGAUCAAAUAUUUUC